Tetranychus urticae (two-spotted spider mite) is the source of this 1828-nucleotide non-coding RNA. The record is from RefSeq and is a predicted model, not a curated record. Lineage: Eukaryota; Metazoa; Arthropoda; Arachnida; Trombidiformes; Tetranychidae.
AUAUUGCAUUAAAUAAGCCUGGAGCUGGGCUUUUCAAAAUCAAGCUUCUUCAAACGAUAAUCUCAACUUGGACAAUCUAACCGAAAGUCGUUGACUAAAACAAAAGGCGAAUGUUCAAUGACGUUUGAUUUCUGUUGUUUAAAUAUAAACUUGAAUGUCACUUUCUGCAGACAAGCUUGAACUAUCAUCAAUCAGACAUUCGAUGAUAAAAGCGAAGAGUUUUUUGAUUGAUUGGAAUUGUUUAAUUUGCCCCUUUUUUGUUUGAUUUUAUUUUCCUGAUUCGGAAACGGAACUAUUAAUCACUAAUCAAUAACCUUCAACAAACGCUUACGUUGGCUUAAAAGUCUUGAUGAUUCACUUAUUACUAGUUUUUUUAUUAGUCAUUUGUCUAGCGAUGCAUCAUUGAAAUCAACUAACAAACUUGUAAAUAAACUAAAUGAUUGUACAAAGCACGAACGAUUAAUAAAAUUAGUUGAUUUAUACAAUGAGUAAUUGACUAAUUGCUAUUUGGUUUGUUUCUUCAAAUGAUAGUUUCAUAACGAGCAAAGAGGAUCUUAUUUGAUUUUAAGGUGUUCAAGUUGAUCUGAUGGCAAUUUAAGAUAAUCAUUGAGUAAACUUCAACUCAUCAAAAGUACUGCUACAUUGAUACUAGAUUUUUGUGAGUAAAAAAAUCAAGCGAAAAAGUGCAUAAUUUAACGAUUUAACCAUUGAAAUGUAACUUUAAUUAACAAUCAUGUUGAGCUAAAAGCUAAAAGUAAAAAAUACCUUUAAAAACUGUUCAGAAGUUUCAAUUUACACAGGGAAAUUUCCAGGGGUGAAGAGUUUUUCAACAUUGAGAAGAUGACAAAAAAUGGUUUGAUUGUUUUCAUCAAUUUUUAAGCGUUAUCAAACUUCUCUGGCCUUUUCAAGCACCUUUUCACACCCACCAAGAGCACCAAUGUUUGGAUAAUCAAUACAAUCUUAAAUACAAUGCCAAUAACCCAGUUCCAAGCACACGAUCAACUUCAAUAUUACUUAAAGCUGACAACAUAAAGACUGAAUAUAAAGCAAGCAACUUUAUUGAUAAGUAGUUGAUUCAUCUCAUUUAAAAUGGAUUCUGAACGAAAUUUGGCAUUACAUGAGCAUCGUGAUUAUUUGGUGAAAGCUAUUCGUGAUAUCAGAAAUGAAAUUGAAUUACGCAGAAAAGAAAACGAUAUUCUUGGUGGUUUCGCUGCCAAAGCUGAACUUUUAAACGCUGCAAUUGAAGAAGUAAGUAAUAUAAAUAUUCAACUGUCCAAAGAAAUUUCCAAAAGCCAAAACCAGUUUCCAGAAACCAAAGACGUUUCUAUCCAAACUGAACCGAUUGCAAAGCGACCAACUCUAUUCCAUCCAUUCGCAUACUAUCUGAGUAGUAAGGAGAAACUAUUGAAAAAGAGAUUGAAUAAUAUCAAGUUGGCCACUAACCAUAAAGGUCCUAACUGUUUGUUGGUUAAAAAAAGUGAAUUCCGUGCUUUUAUUUCCAUGAUCAUGUCAACUUGUCAAACCUACGAACGCAAACGAAAUAAAAUCCGUAAACUUUAUUACCUUCAUCGACUUCACCGCUAGUUGGACCUGAAAGUUUUUCCAAUGGAUGGAACAGCUAGAUGAAUGCAAGGAAAAUAUGUGCAAUGAAUUUAUUUCAAGCUAAGCCAUGCACUCAACUCGACGCAAGCUGUAAUGAUGGAGAAGUGAUGGAAACUUUUCUCAUUGCAAAAUGUUGAAUCAUGAAUGUAUUAACGCCUCCUAUCAAUCUUUAUGGUUUUACUUUAAACAUUGAUUUUACAAUAAAAUGAGGAUAAAUGUAAUUAAA